AAAAGAUUAACACUCAAUUUGGCAAGUUGUUCCUCACUCAACCCAGAGCAAGAGCUUCUUGAAGAAACUUCUCAUCUUCUGUCAUAGAUUCAUAAGGAAUAGAAAUCAAUGGAACACCAUCUGCUACCAAGACAGUAGUAUCAUCUGUAUCCUUUCCCCAAAUCCACUUAAAUACCGAAGCAUAAUCACCUUCACAAGUUAUUGACAUAAGUAACAAGACCAAUAAACGUAUAUACACCAUCCUGCUUUGUUUUUCUGAAAAGAUGACAAAAAAAUUCAACAAUUGAUAUUAUUUAUGGAAUAUUGAAUGACUUUUAAAUGACUAUCAGAAUUAAAUUAUCUAAAAUAAAAGUUGAGAAAAAUUAACUUCUAAAUGAUAUUGAGCAAAUAAUCAGAAUACAGAAUUAAAAAUCAAUUUUAGACUUACGACGUUAAAAAUACUCAGUUUCUUUCGUAAUGUUAUAUCACUUUCACCGAUGUAAAAUAUAUUUGUAAAAUAUUAUGCUAUAAAAUAUUAAAAUAUUAUUGUUAAGAAAAGCGAGUGCUUCAUUCAUUCCACCGGAAAUUUAUAGUAGUAGUGAGUGACAAACGAAAAUAGCUGCUUUACAGGUGAGAUUCUAUAUCGUGCGUUUAUUUAUUCUCGUUAUGCUUGGACUUUGCAACGGUUAUAGCGCUGCAGUUCAGUGGCGGAGAAAUUAGAAAGUGAAAUCAAAC
This 714-nucleotide unclassified non-coding RNA is filed under the name Bombus terrestris (buff-tailed bumblebee). Its description in RNAcentral is "misc RNA ENSBTSG00005029374.1". The record is from RNAcentral. Lineage: Eukaryota; Metazoa; Arthropoda; Insecta; Hymenoptera; Apidae.